ACGGAAGGCAGCAGUGGGGAAUAUUGGACAAUGGAGGCAACUCUGAUCCAGCGACGCCGCGUGAGUGAAGAAGUAUUUCGGUAUGUAAAGCUCUAUCAGCAGGGAAGAUAAUGACGGUACCUGACUAAGAAGCCCCGGCUAACUACGUGCCAGCAGCCGCGGUAAUACGUAUGGAGCAAGCGUUAUCCGGAUUUACUGGGUGUAAAGGGAGCGUAGACGGCGAAACAAGUCUGAAGUGAAAUCCCGGGGCUCAACCCCGGAACUGCUUUGGAAACUGUUUUGCUAGAGUGCAGGAGAGGUAAGCGGAAUUCCUAGUGUAGCGGUGAAAUGCGUAGAUAUUAGGAGGAACACCAGUGGCGAAGGCGGCUUACUGGACUGUAACUGACGUUGAGGCUCGAAAGCGUGGGGAGCAAACAGGAUUAGAUACCCUGGUA
RNAcentral lists this ribosomal RNA (434 nucleotides) under uncultured Clostridium sp. Its description in RNAcentral is "partial 16S ribosomal RNA". It matches the Rfam family "Bacterial small subunit ribosomal RNA", at positions 341 to 792 of the family's 1533-position model. Lineage: Bacteria; Bacillati; Bacillota; Clostridia; Eubacteriales; Clostridiaceae. The record is from RNAcentral.